CUACGGGGGGCUGCAGUGGGGAAUAUUGGACAAUGGGGGAAACCCUGAUCCAGCAAUGCCGCGUGCGUGAAGAAGGCCUGCGGGUUGUAAAGCACUUUCGGUUGGGAGGACUGCUUCUAGCACUAAUAUUGUUGGAAGUUGACGUUACCUUCAGAAGAAGCACCGGCUAACUCCGUGCCAGCAGCCGCGGUAAUACGGAGGGUGCAAGCGCUAAUCGGAAUUACUGGGCGUAAAGCGCGCGUAGGCGGCUAGAUCAGUCGGGUGUGAAAGCCCCGGGCUUAACCUGGGGACUGCAUCCGAUACUGUCUAGCUUGAGUACAGGAGAGGAGAGUGGAAUUCCACAUGUAGCGGUGAAAUGCGUAGAUAUGUGGAGGAACACCAAUGGCGAAGGCAGCUCUCUGGCCUGAUACUGACGCUGAGGUGCGAAAGCGUGGGGAGCAAACAGGAUUAGAUACCCUUGUAGUC
This 465-nucleotide ribosomal RNA is filed under the name uncultured bacterium. Its description in RNAcentral is "partial 16S ribosomal RNA". It matches the Rfam family "Bacterial small subunit ribosomal RNA", at positions 339 to 795 of the family's 1533-position model. The record is from RNAcentral.